GGGGAUGUAGUUCAGUGGGAGAGUGCUUGCUUUGCAGGUGAGAGUUCCUGGGUUCAACCCUCAGCAUCUCCA
RNAcentral lists this transfer RNA (72 nucleotides) under Egretta garzetta (little egret). It matches the Rfam family "tRNA". Rfam says of the family: Transfer RNA (tRNA) molecules are approximately 80 nucleotides in length. Their secondary structure includes four short double-helical elements and three loops (D, anti-codon, and T loops). Lineage: Eukaryota; Metazoa; Chordata; Aves; Pelecaniformes; Ardeidae. The record is from Rfam by way of RNAcentral.